This is a non-coding RNA of Chelonoidis abingdonii (Abingdon island giant tortoise), 1105 nucleotides long. The record is from the annotation of a RefSeq genome assembly. NCBI's taxonomy places the organism in Eukaryota, Metazoa, Chordata, Testudines, Testudinidae.
AUGUCGCCGGGAGCCCCACUUAGUGACCAACGGGAUCAAGACUUCCCAGCCACGGCACAGAGCAGUGGCAGGGCCUUCACCCUCAUCAGCCAGCUCACCGUCCCUGCCUGGGACCUGGCGCACAACUCCUACCAGUGCAGUGUGGAGCACACCCCAUCCCGUAAAAAGAUAGAUGUGGAGAUCACGAAUGCCUAUCCUGCCCUCGCGCCUUCUGUCUCAGCCACUGUCUCCUGCCCGGACCCAGAGGAAACUCCAGGGAAGAGAGAUUCCCACACAUUCCUCCGUGACGUCACUGGAUUCUUCCCAGCAGACAUCAGCCUCUGCUGGGAGCACAAUGGCUCCAUAGUCCCUGCCUCCCACUACAGCAGUGACCCCGCUGUCAGAUCUGGUGAGGGCUACUCCACUCAAAGCAUCUUAAGAGUCCCCAGGGCCAAGGGCGAAGGAGAAGCAGGGCCCCAAUAUUUCUGCCUGGUGUGGCACAUGAUGCUGAAUGAAACCUUGAAGGUGAAGGUGAAGCCACAGAAUUCAACCAGCAUCCUGCGGGUGUGCGUGGAGGAGUGGCAGGCGGGGGAGGAGUUCACCUGCACCGUGAAGCACCAAGACUUCCCGUCGGCCAUUGUCAAGACCAUCCGCAAGGUUCACGAGGUGUCUCUCCGGGCCCCUUCUGUCCAUGUCUACCCUCCUCACACUGAGGAGCUGGCUCUCCAGGAACCAACCCACAUCACCUGCCUGGCCUCCGGGUUCCAGCCCAGACACAUCUUGGUGACAUGGACCCAGCAGGACCGGCCCGUGCCCCUGGAAGACUACACCAACUUUGGCCCCGUGCGGGAGGUUGGGAAGGAGGAGAGCUACUUCAUCUACAGCAAGCUUAAUGUCUUGGUGUCUGAAUGGGAGUUGGGGAACACCUACACCUGCGUGGUGGGGCACGAGGGUCUGCCCAUGACCUUCAUCCACCGGAGCGUGGAGAAAUCCUCCGGUAAACCUACUGCCGUCAAUGUCUCUGUGAUCUUGUCCGACACUGACGUCACUUGCUACUGAGGAGCAGAGCCCCGCGGGCUCCUCACGGCGUAUCUGAGAUGGAGACGGAGCCUUGUGGGGUCUGGGA